GACGAACGCUGGCGGCGCGCCUAACACAUGCAAGUCGAACGGAGCUGAGAGAAGCUUGCUUUUCUUAGCUUAGUGGCGAACGGGUGAGUAACGCGUGAGUAACCUGCCCUGGAGUGGGGGACAACAGUUGGAAACGACUGCUAAUACCGCAUAAGCCCACGAUCCGGCAUCGGAUUGAGGGAAAAGGAUUUAUUCGCUUCAGGAUGGACUCGCGUCCAAUUAGCUAGUUGGUGAGGUAACGGCCCACCAAGGCGACGAGUGGUAGCCGGACUGAGAGGUUGAACGGCCACAUUGGGACUGAGACACGGCCCAGACUCCUACGGGAGGCAGCAGUGGGGGAUAUUGCACAAUGGGGGAAACCCUGAUGCAGCGACGCCGCGUGGAGGAAGAAGGUUUUCGGAUUGUAAACUCCUGUCGUUAGGGACGAUAAUGACGGUACCUAACAAGAAAGCACCGGCUAACUACGUG
This 468-nucleotide ribosomal RNA is filed under the name uncultured bacterium. RNAcentral's name for it is "partial 16S ribosomal RNA". It matches the Rfam family "Bacterial small subunit ribosomal RNA", at positions 28 to 507 of the family's 1533-position model. The record is from RNAcentral.